CUACGGGAGGCAGCAGUGGGGAAUAUUGGACAAUGGGGGAAACCCUGAUCCAGCAAUGCCGCGUGUGUGAAGAAGGCCUGCGGGUUGUAAAGCACUUUCGGUUGGGAGGACUGCUUCUAGCACUAAUAUUGUUGGAAGUUGACGUUACCUUCAGAAGAAGCACCGGCUAACUCCGUGCCAGCAGCCGCGGUAAUACGGAGGGUGCAAGCGUUAAUCGGAAUUACUGGGCGUAAAGCGCGCGUAGGCGGCUAGAUCAGUCGGGUGUGAAAGCCCCGGGCUUAACCUGGGAACUGCAUCCGAUACUGUCUAGCUUGAGUACAGGAGAGGAGAGUGGAAUUCCGCAUGUAGCGGUGAAAUGCGUAGAUAUGUGGAGGAACACCAAUGGCGAAGGCAGCUCUCUGGCCUGAUACUGACGCUGAGGUGCGAAGGCGUGGGGAGCAAACAGGAUUAGAUACCCCAGUAGUC
This 465-nucleotide ribosomal RNA is filed under the name uncultured bacterium. Its description in RNAcentral is "partial 16S ribosomal RNA". It matches the Rfam family "Bacterial small subunit ribosomal RNA", at positions 339 to 795 of the family's 1533-position model. The record is from RNAcentral.